This 27-nucleotide unclassified non-coding RNA is filed under the name Mus musculus (house mouse). Its description in RNAcentral is "oocyte_clustered_small_RNA1342". The record is from RNAcentral. Lineage: Eukaryota; Metazoa; Chordata; Mammalia; Rodentia; Muridae.
UGAAGUGUCCCUCCUUACCUUUUUUGA